CCUACGGGAGGCAGCAGUGGGGAAUAUUGCACAAUGGGGGAAACCCUGAUGCAGCGACGCCGCGUGCGUGAAGAAGUAAUUCGUUACGUAAAGCUCUAUCAGCAGGGAAGAAAAUGACGGUACCUGCGUAAGACGCCCCGGUUAACUCCGUGCCAGCCGCCGCGGGACUACGUAGGGGGCAAGCGUUAUCCGGAAUUACUGGGUGGAAAGGGAGCGUAGACGGUGAUGCAAGUCGGGAGGGAAAGGCGGGGGCCAAACCCCCGGACUGCUCUGGAAACUGGGUAACUUGAGUGCAGGAGGGGUAAGCGGAAUUCCUAGUGUAGCGGUGAAAUGCGUAGAUAGUAGGAGGAACACCAGUGGCGAAGGCGGCAUACUGGACUGUAACUGACGUUGAGGCUCGAAAGCGUGGGGAGCAAACAGGAUUAGAUACCCCUGUAGUC
This 440-nucleotide ribosomal RNA is filed under the name uncultured bacterium. RNAcentral describes it as "partial 16S ribosomal RNA". It matches the Rfam family "Bacterial small subunit ribosomal RNA", at positions 338 to 795 of the family's 1533-position model. The record is from RNAcentral.